This 73-nucleotide transfer RNA is filed under the name Chroomonas placoidea. Its description in RNAcentral is "tRNA-Arg". It matches the Rfam family "tRNA". From Rfam's summary of the family: Transfer RNA (tRNA) molecules are approximately 80 nucleotides in length. Their secondary structure includes four short double-helical elements and three loops (D, anti-codon, and T loops). The record is from RNAcentral. Lineage: Eukaryota; Cryptophyceae; Pyrenomonadales; Chroomonadaceae. RNAcentral also lists the same sequence under 1 other name.
GAGUAUGUAACUCAGGGGAUAGAGUAUCAGAUUCCGAUUCUGACGGUCGAGGGUUCGAGUCCCUCCAUACUCA